Molecule: small RNA, 130 nt
Filed under: Arabidopsis thaliana (thale cress)
Lineage: Eukaryota; Viridiplantae; Streptophyta; Magnoliopsida; Brassicales; Brassicaceae
Description: ATSL173430
Source: RNAcentral
AUAAAAUUUACAACCUAAUUUUUACAACAAUAAAAUCUACAACUACAGUCAUCAUACAUACAACUAAAAUUCUACCGCAAAAAAUCUACAGUUACAGACGAACCAAUCACACACUAUACUAGAUAAGAAA